CUCGACCUCAGAUCAGGCAAGGCUACCCGCUGAAUUUAAGCAUAUUAAUAAGCGGAGGAAAAGAAACUAACAAGGAUUCCCCCAGUAACGGCGAGUGAAGCGGGAAGAGCUCAAAUUUAAAAUCUCCGUUGCUUGC
This 136-nucleotide ribosomal RNA is filed under the name Antipathes grandis. RNAcentral describes it as "partial 28S ribosomal RNA". It matches the Rfam family "Eukaryotic large subunit ribosomal RNA", at positions 1 to 134 of the family's 3401-position model. The record is from RNAcentral. Lineage: Eukaryota; Metazoa; Cnidaria; Anthozoa; Antipatharia; Antipathidae.